Molecule: ribosomal RNA, 486 nt
Filed under: Tityus mattogrossensis
Lineage: Eukaryota; Metazoa; Arthropoda; Arachnida; Scorpiones; Buthidae
Description: eukaryotic LSU rRNA
Rfam family: Eukaryotic large subunit ribosomal RNA
Source: RNAcentral
UUGGGUCUUGUUUAGGCUCAGAGGCGCAAUGAAAGUGAAGGAUGCCCUAGUUGGUGUCUGCGUUGGGAUCCCGGGGCCUCGAGUUCCGGGCGCACCAACGGCCCGUCCCGUCUGCGACGUCAGUGGGACGGAGCGAGAGCGUACACGUUGGGACCCGAAAGAUGGUGAACUAUGCCUGGGCAGGACGAGGCCAGAGGAAACUCUGGUGGAGGUCCGCAGCGAUUCUGACGUGCAAAUCGAUCGUCAGACCUUGGUAUAGGGGCGAAAGACUAAUCGAACCGUCUAGUAGCUGGUUCCCUCCGAAGUUUCCCUCAGGAUAGCUGGUGCUCGAGUGGAAUCAGUCUCAUCCGGUAAAGCGAAUGAUUAGAGGCCUUGGGGCCGAAACGACCUCAACCUAUUCUCAAACUUUCAAUGGGUGAGAAGUCCGGUUUACAUGACUGAAGCCCGGACGAUUCUCAGGAUGUGAGUGCCAAGUGGGCCACUUUU